Molecule: transfer RNA, 72 nt
Filed under: Pseudeustrotia carneola
Lineage: Eukaryota; Metazoa; Arthropoda; Insecta; Lepidoptera; Noctuidae
Description: tRNA-Asp
Source: RNAcentral
AAAGAAUUAGUUAAAAAAUAACAUAAAUAUGUCAAAUUUAAAUUAUUACUUAUAAUAAUGUAAUAUUCUUUU